AACUAACGCUGGCGGCGCGUCUUAAACAUGCAAGUCGAACGGAAAGGUCCCUUCGGGGAUACUCGAGCGGCGAACGGGUGAGUAACACGUAGGUUAUCUACCUCUCGGCGGGGGACAACCAGGGGAAACCCUGGCUAAUACCGCAUACGAUUUCGAGGUCCACGGACUUUGAACUGAAAGAUUUAUCACCGAGAGAUGAGCCUGCGUCCAAUUAGCUUGAUGGUGGGGUAACUGCCCACCAUGGCUUCGAUUGGUAGCCGGCCUGAGAGGGUGAUCGGCCACACUGGGACUGAGAUACGGCCCAG
RNAcentral lists this ribosomal RNA (305 nucleotides) under uncultured bacterium. RNAcentral describes it as "bacterial SSU rRNA". It matches the Rfam family "Bacterial small subunit ribosomal RNA", at positions 29 to 334 of the family's 1533-position model. The record is from RNAcentral.